GGGUUCUUGGUGUCGGUUGGUGACAGCGGAGGGAUCAUUACCGAGUUUACAACUCCCAAACCCCUGUGAACAUACCACUUGUUGCCUCGGCGGAUCAGCCCGCUCCCGGUAAAACGGGACGGCCCGCCAGAGGACCCCUAAACUCUGUUUCUAUAUGUAACUUCUGAGUAAAACCAUAAAUAAAUCAAAACUUUCAACAACGGAUCUCUUGGUUCUGGCAUCGAUGAAGAACGCAGCAAAAUGCGAUAAGUAAUGUGAAUUGCAGAAUUCAGUGAAUCAUCGAAUCUUUGAACGCACAUUGCGCCCGCCAGUAUUCUGGCGGGCAUGCCUGUUCGAGCGUCAUUUCAACCCUCAAGCACAGCUUGGUGUUGGGACUCGCGUUAAUUCGCGUUCCUCAAAUUGAUUGGCGGUCACGUCGAGCUUCCAUAGCGUAGUAGUAAAACCCUCGUUACUGGUAAUCGUCGCGGCCACGCCGUUAAACCCCAACUUCUGAAUGUUGACCUCGGAUCAGGUAGGAAUACCCGCUGAACUUAAGCAUAUCAAUAAGCGGAGGAA
RNAcentral lists this ribosomal RNA (555 nucleotides) under Fusarium oxysporum. RNAcentral's name for it is "eukaryotic LSU rRNA". The stretch from base 189 to 342 matches the Rfam family "5.8S ribosomal RNA". The record is from RNAcentral. Lineage: Eukaryota; Fungi; Ascomycota; Sordariomycetes; Hypocreales; Nectriaceae.